RNAcentral lists this transfer RNA (85 nucleotides) under Felis catus (domestic cat). It matches the Rfam family "tRNA". From Rfam's summary of the family: Transfer RNA (tRNA) molecules are approximately 80 nucleotides in length. Their secondary structure includes four short double-helical elements and three loops (D, anti-codon, and T loops). Further hydrogen bonds mediate the characteristic L-shaped molecular structure. tRNAs have two regions of fundamental functional importance: the anti-codon, which is responsible for specific mRNA codon recognition, and the 3' end, to which the tRNAs corresponding amino acid is attached (by aminoacyl-tRNA synthetases). tRNAs cope with the degeneracy of the genetic code in two manners: having more than one tRNA (with a specific anti-codon) for a particular amino acid; and 'wobble' base-pairing, i.e. permitting non-standard base-pairing at the 3rd anti-codon position. Lineage: Eukaryota; Metazoa; Chordata; Mammalia; Carnivora; Felidae. RNAcentral also lists the same sequence under 1 other name. The record is from Rfam by way of RNAcentral.
GCCUGGGUGGCUCAGUCGGUUAAGCGUCCGACUUCGGCUCAGGUCAUGAUCUCGCGGUUUGUGGGUUCGAGCCCCGCAUCGGGCU